Molecule: ribosomal RNA, 404 nt
Filed under: uncultured bacterium
Lineage: Bacteria
Description: bacterial SSU rRNA
Rfam family: Bacterial small subunit ribosomal RNA
Source: RNAcentral
CGGGAUUGAAAUGUAGACGACGAGCGGUGAAAGUCGCUUUCCCUUCGGGGCGUCUAUGUAGGUGCUGCAUGGUUGUCGUCAGCUCGUGCCGUGAGGUGUCGGCUUAAGUGCCAUAACGAGCGCAACCCCUGUCUACGGUUGCCAUCAGGUGAUGCUGGGAACUCCGUAGAGACUGCCGUCGUAAGGCGUGAGGAAGGUGGGGAUGACGUCAAAUCAGCACGGCCCUUACAUCCGGGGCGACACACGUGUUACAAUGGUGGGGACAAAGGGCAGCUACCUGGCGACAGGAUGCGAAUCUCCAAACCCCAUCACAGUUCGGAUCGGAGUCUGCAACUCGACUCCGUGAAGCUGGAUUCGCUAGUAAUCGCGCAUCAGCCAUGGCGCGGUGAAUACGUUCCCGGGCC